This 235-nucleotide long non-coding RNA is filed under the name Carica papaya (papaya). Its description in RNAcentral is "long non-coding RNA (CPAP_LNC006965)". Lineage: Eukaryota; Viridiplantae; Streptophyta; Magnoliopsida; Brassicales; Caricaceae. The record is from RNAcentral.
AGAUAGUGUGAUGUCUUUACUGAGAUAGUGUAGCUCAUCCCUUACUUAACCAUUUCAGAUCAAGAAGACGUGGUUCCCGAGCCCGUUCCACAGGAAGACGGCGAGUUAGACGCCUAAGGACUUUAUAUCUCUAUUUAUAGUGUUUAUUUCGAGUAUCUCUUUUAUUUAGCUUAUUCUUUCAUGUUUUGAGUACAUUUUUGGUUAUUGUGUAAGGGAUGUUAAUCAAAAUUUUUAU